This 498-nucleotide ribosomal RNA is filed under the name uncultured bacterium. RNAcentral's name for it is "partial 16S ribosomal RNA". It matches the Rfam family "Bacterial small subunit ribosomal RNA", at positions 29 to 523 of the family's 1533-position model. The record is from RNAcentral.
AUUGAACGCUGGCGGCAUGCUUUACACAUGCAAGUCGAACGGUAACAGGCCGCAAGGUGCUGACGAGUGGCGAACGGGUGAGUAAUGCAUCGGAACGUGCCCAGUCGUGGGGGAUAACGCAGCGAAAGCGGUGCUAAUACCGCAUACGAUCUAUGGAUGAAAGCGGGGGACCGUAAGGCCUCGCGCGAUUGGAGCGGCCGAUGUCAGAUUAGCAAGUUGGUGGGGUAAAGGCCCACCAAGGCGACGAUCUGUAGCUGGUCUGAGAGGACGACCAGCCACACUGGGACUGAGACACGGCCCAGACUCCUACGGGAGGCAGCAGUGGGGAAUUUUGGACAAUGGGCGCAAGCCUGAUCCAGCAAUGCCGCGUGUAGGAAGAAGGCCUUCGGGUUGUAAACUGCUUUUGUACGGAACGAAACGGCCUGGGUUAAUACCCUGGGCUAAUGACGGUACCGUAAGAAUAAGCACCGGCUAACUACGUGCCAGCCGCCGCAGUAA